This 208-nucleotide ribosomal RNA is filed under the name uncultured bacterium. Its description in RNAcentral is "partial 16S ribosomal RNA". It matches the Rfam family "Bacterial small subunit ribosomal RNA", at positions 1294 to 1500 of the family's 1533-position model. The record is from RNAcentral.
CGGAUUGCAGGCUGCAACUCGCCUGUAUGAAGUCGGAAUUGCUAGUAAUCGUGGAUCAGCAUGCCACGGUGAAUACGUUCCCGGGCCUUGUACACACCGCCCGUCACACCAUGAGAGCCGGGAACACCCGAAGUCCGUAGUCUAACCUAUAUGGAGGACGCGGCCGAAGGUGGGUUUGGUAAUUGGGGUGAAGUCGUAACAAGGUACC